Erinaceus europaeus (western European hedgehog) is the source of this 1200-nucleotide long non-coding RNA. RefSeq lists it as uncharacterized. NCBI's taxonomy places the organism in Eukaryota, Metazoa, Chordata, Mammalia, Eulipotyphla, Erinaceidae. The record is from RefSeq and is a predicted model, not a curated record. The transcript is spliced from 3 exons.
UCCUCCUUUGCUGUGAGAUCUCAAGGAGGCGCCCAUGGAGGACCCUUGCUAUCUGGCCCCAGGGCCCAGGUGUGAACAGAUGAGACCUUUUCCUUCCACCACUGUCACCCAGAGCUGUCAUCCCGUCUGACCAUUGGGGACCCCAAUCAGGUCCAGAGCUGCCAGUGGGAAGCUGCCAGGGGUGGGCAGAGCCCAUGGCAGGGGGUCUGUCUGGAUUUUAUCUUCUUGGAGCUGCAGAGGGCUGAGACCAAGGCCAUCUUCAGGGUGAGCAUGGGGGCAGCCCAGACAAUAGAGAGAGAGGGUGAAAGACACCACAGCACUGAAGCUUCCUUCAAUCCUGUGGGGGCCAGGCUUGAACCUGGGGAUUGUACACAUGGCAAAGCAGCACACUAUUGAGACACAAUGGAAGAGAGACAGACAGAAAGGUGGGGAGAGCAUCACACUCCCAGAUCUCAAAUUGUAUUAUAGGGCCAUUGUAAUCAAAACUGCUUGGUACUGGAACAUGACUAGACUCACUGACCAGUGGAAUAGAAUUGAGAGCCUGGAAGUAAGGCCCCACACCUAUGGACAUCUAAUCUUUCACAAAGGUGCCCAAAGUAUUACAUGGGGAAAGCAGAGUCUCUUCAACAAAUGGUGUUGGAAAAAAAUGGGUUGAAACAUGCAGAAGAAUGAAACUGAACCACUGUAUUUCACCAAAUACAAAAGUAAAUUCCAAGUGGAUCAAGGACUUGGAUGUUAGACCAGAAACUAUCAGAUACUUAGAGGAAAAUAUUGUCAGAACUCUUUUCCGCAUAAAUUUUAAAGACAUCCUCCAUGAAAUGAAUUCAAUUACAAACAAGACUAAGGUAAGUAUAAACCAGUGGGACUAUAUCAAAUUAAAAAGCUUUUGCACAGCAAAAGAAACCACUACCCAAACCAAGAGAUCUCUUACAGAAUGGGAGAAGAUCUUUACAUGCCAUACAUCAGACAAGAGGCUAAUAACCAAAAUAUAUAAAGAGCUUGCCAAACUCAACAACAAGACAACAAAUAACCCCAUCCAAAAAUGGGGAGAGGACAUGGGCAGAAUAUUGACCACAGAAGAGAUCCAAAAGGCCGGGAACACAUGAAAAAAUGCCCCAAGUCUUUGAUUGUCAGAGAAAUGCAAAUAAAGACAACAACGAGAUACCACUUCACUCCUAUGAGAAUGUCAUACAUUAGAAA